CGGGGGGAGCAAGCGUUGUUCGGAUUUACUGGGCGUAAAGGGCGUGUAGGCGGCCACCGCAAGUCGACUGUGAAAUCUCUGGGCUUAACCCAGAAAGGUCAGCCGAUACUGCGGGGCUAGAGUGCAGAAGGGGCAACUGGAAUUCUCGGUGUAGCGGUGAAAUGCGUAGAUAUCGAGAGGAACACCUGCGGCGAAGGCGGGUUGCUGGGCUGACACUGACGCUGAGGCGCGAAAGCUAGGGGAGCGAACGGGAUUAGAUACCCCGGUAGUCCUAGCCUUAAACGAUGAAUGCUUGGUGUCUGGGGUUUUAUAGUCCCCGGGUGCCGUCGCUAACGCUUUAAGCAUUCCGCCUGGGGAGUACGGCCGCAAGACUG
This 374-nucleotide ribosomal RNA is filed under the name uncultured organism. RNAcentral's name for it is "bacterial SSU rRNA". It matches the Rfam family "Bacterial small subunit ribosomal RNA", at positions 526 to 896 of the family's 1533-position model. The record is from RNAcentral.